RNAcentral lists this long non-coding RNA (830 nucleotides) under Gossypium barbadense (sea-island cotton). RNAcentral describes it as "long non-coding RNA (GBAR_LNC021552)". The record is from RNAcentral. Lineage: Eukaryota; Viridiplantae; Streptophyta; Magnoliopsida; Malvales; Malvaceae.
CAAUGUCUUUUUAGGGCCUCAAGGGCUUGUAUAAGAGACUGUAUGUAUGAUUUCGGUUGAUGUUGCUAUUGUAAUAGGCAAAUUUUGGCCUGGCUAAAAAUAAAUAAAAUAAAAUAACGGUCUAUUUACAUUUCGGCUAAUCCUAAUACAUUUGGCCCAAUAAAGGGCCCAAUUGUGUAAACCCUAGCCUAACUAGCAGAUAGCCUCAGAGGCCACCAUCGCCCCACGCCGCAACAGCACCCGCGCAUUGCGCAUGUCGCCCUUGCACGUCGCGCAUGUUGCCCUGCACAACGCACGUCUUCCACUACUUCCAUACCUGCGAGAAAUUGAUCUAAACGGCAGCACAUGCAAAAAAAUAACAGGAUAGAUAGAUUUUUUUUUCAUUUUUUUUGUAUAUCUCGGCUAUAAAAGGCCGAUUUUAAUUUGUAAAGGGGGUUAGACAAAUGAUAUAUUGAAAUAGAGAGAAAAUACAAAGGUAAAGAAUCAGAAAAGAAAAAUUUUGGAAGGUGAUUUUCUUCAUUUCUUUUAUUGCUUUCUCUGUUAUUUUUUCUUUUUUUUUCGGGGUGUGCAAAACAGAAAUAAGGAGGAGAAGAGAAGGUUUUUACCAGUGGUGGCGCGCCAUUGAUGCCCUUGCUGCGUUGCGUCCGAAUCGGAGUUGAAAAGGGGAAGAUUUCAGUGAGAAGCAGAAGAGAAAGAAGCAGUCCUUGCGGGUGCUAUUGCUGAAAUUGGACUGGGGUUUUGAUUUGGGUUUGAAAUGGGUUUUGUUGGCUGCAAAUGAAAUGGGGUUUUAUUAAUGGGCUAUUUACCUUUUUAAUCAUUUUCAUUUUUCC